GGGUUGUGAGGUUAAGCGACUAAGCGUACACGGUGGAUGCCCUGGCAGUCAGAGGCGAUGAAGGACGUGCUAAUCUGCGAUAAGCGUCGGUAAGGUGAUAUGAACCGUUAUAACCGGCGAUUUCCGAAUGGGGAAACCCAGUGUGUUUCGACACACUAUCAUUAACUGAAUCCAUAGGUUAAUGAGGCGAACCGGGGGAACUGAAACAUCUAAGUACCCCGAGGAAAAGAAAUCAACCGAGAUUCCCCCAGUAGCGGCGAGCGAACGGGGAGCAGCCCAGAGCCUGAAUCAGUGUGUGUGUUAGUGGAAGCGUCUGGAAAGGCGCGCGAUACAGGGUGACAGCCCCGUACACAAAAAUGCACAUACUGUGAGCUCGAUGAGUAGGGCGGGACACGUGGUAUCCUGUCUGAAUAUGGGGGGACCAUCCUCCAAGGCUAAAUACUCCUGACUGACCGAUAGUGAACCAGUACCGUGAGGGAAAGGCGAAAAGAACCCCGGCGAGGGGAGUGAAAAAGAACCUGAAACCGUGUACGUACAAGCAGUGGGAGC
This 549-nucleotide ribosomal RNA is filed under the name Escherichia coli. RNAcentral's name for it is "partial 23S ribosomal RNA". It matches the Rfam family "Bacterial large subunit ribosomal RNA", at positions 1 to 580 of the family's 2925-position model. The record is from RNAcentral. Lineage: Bacteria; Pseudomonadati; Pseudomonadota; Gammaproteobacteria; Enterobacterales; Enterobacteriaceae.